Molecule: transfer RNA, 69 nt
Filed under: Endoclita minanus
Lineage: Eukaryota; Metazoa; Arthropoda; Insecta; Lepidoptera; Hepialidae
Description: tRNA-Leu
Source: RNAcentral
ACUAUUUUGACAGAAAUAAUGUAUUGAAAUUAGAAUUCAUUUAUAAAUAUAUAAUAUAUUUAAAUAGUA